UACGGAGGGGGCGAGCGUUGUUCGGAAUUACUGGGCGUAAAGGGCGCGUAGGCGGCUUGAUAAGCGUGCGGUGAAAGCCCGGGGCUCAACCCCGGGUCGGCCGUGCGAACUGUCGAGCUGGAGCACUGUAGAGGCAGGUGGAAUUCCGGGUGUAGCGGUGGAAUGCGUAGAGAUCCGGAAGAACACCGGUGGCGAAGGCGGCCUGCUGGGCAGUGGCUGACGCUGAGGCGCGACAGCGUGGGGAGCAAACAGG
Molecule: ribosomal RNA, 253 nt
Filed under: uncultured bacterium
Lineage: Bacteria
Description: partial 16S ribosomal RNA
Rfam family: Bacterial small subunit ribosomal RNA
Source: RNAcentral